RNAcentral lists this ribosomal RNA (449 nucleotides) under uncultured bacterium. RNAcentral describes it as "partial 16S ribosomal RNA". It matches the Rfam family "Bacterial small subunit ribosomal RNA", at positions 29 to 523 of the family's 1533-position model. The record is from RNAcentral.
AACGAACGCUGGCGGCAUGCCUAACACAUGCAAGUCGAACGAGAUCUUCGGGUCUAGUGGCGCACGGGUGCGUAACGCGUGGGAAUCUGCCCUUUAAUUCGGAAUCACAGUUGGAAACGACUGCUAAUACCGGAUGAUGACGAAAGUCCAAAGAUUUAUCGCCAGAGGAUGAGCCCGCGUAGGAUUAGCUAGUUGGUGUGGUAAAGGCGCACCAAGGCGACGAUCCUUAGCUGGUCUGAGAGGAUGAUCAGCCACACUGGGACUGAGACACGGCCCAGACUCCUACGGGAGGCAGCAGUGGGGAAUAUUGGACAAUGGGCGAAAGCCUGAUCCAGCAAUGCCGCGUGAGUGAUGAAGGCCUUAGGGUUGUAAAGCUCUUUUACCCGGGAUGAUAAUGACAGUACCGGGAGAAUAAGCUCCGGCUAACUCCGUGCCAGCCGCCGCGGUAA